GACGAACGCUGGCGGCGUGCUUAACACAUGCAAGUCGAACGGAAAGGCCCUGCUUUUGUGGGGUGCUCGAGUGGCGAACGGGUGAGUAACACGUGAGUAACCUGCCCUUGACUUUGGGAUAACUUCAGGAAACUGGGGCUAAUACCGGAUAGGAGCUCCUGCUGCAUGGUGGGGGUUGGAAAGUUUCGGCGGUUGGGGAUGGACUCGCGGCUUAUCAGCUUGUUGGUGGGGUAGUGGCUUACCAAGGCUUUGACGGGUAGCCGGCCUGAGAGGGUGACCGGCCACAUUGGGACUGAGAUACGGCCCAGACUCCUACGGGAGGCAGCAGUGGGGAAUAUUGCACAAUGGGCGGAAGCCUGAUGCAGCAACGCCGCGUGCGGGAUGACGGCCUUCGGGUUGUAAACCGCUUUCGCCUGUGACGAAGCGUGAGUGACGGUAAUGGGUAAAGAAGCACCGGCUAACUACGUGCCAGCAGCCGCGGUGAUACGUAGGGUGCGGGCGUUGUCCGGAUUUAUUGGGCGUAAAGGGCUCGUAGGUGGUUGAUCGCGUCGGAAGUGUAAUCUUGGGGCUUAACCCUGAGCGUGCUUUCGAUACGGGUUGACUUGAGGAAGGUAGGGGAGAAUGGAAUUCCUGGUGGAGCGGUGGAAUGCGCAGAUAUCAGGAGGAACACCAGUGGCGAAGGCGGUUCUCUGGGCCUUUCCUGACGCUGAGGAGCGAAAGCGUGGGGAGCGAACAGGCUUAGAUACCCUGGUAGUCCACGCUGUAAACGGUGGGUACUAGGUGUGGGGUCCAUUCCACGGGUUCCGUGCCGUAGCUAACGCUUUAAGUACCCCGCCUGGGGAGUACGGCCGCAAGGCUAAAACUCAAAGGAAUUGACGGGGCCCCGCACAAGCGGCGGAGCAUGCGGAUUAAUUCGAUGCAACGCGUAGAACCUUACCUGGGUUUGACAUGGAUCGGGAGCGCUCAGAGAUGGGUGUGCCUCUUUUGGGGUCGGUUCACAGGUGGUGCAUGGCUGUCGUCAGCUCGUGUCGUGAGAUGUUGGGUUAAGUCCCGCAACGAGCGCAACCCUUGUUCACUGUUGCCAGCACGUUAUGGUGGGGACUCAGUGGAGACCGCCGGGGUCAACUCGGAGGAAGGUGGGGAUGACGUCAAGUCAUCAUGCCCCUUAUGUCCAGGGCUUCACGCAUGCUACAAUGGCUGGUACAGAGAGUGGCGAGCCUGUGAGGGUGAGCGAAUCUCGGAAAGCCGGUCUCAGUUCGGGUUGGGGUCUGCAACUCGACCUCAUGAAGUCGGAGUCGCUAGUAAUCGCAGAUCAGCAACGCUGCGGUGAAUACGUUCCCGGG
This 1343-nucleotide ribosomal RNA is filed under the name uncultured bacterium. RNAcentral describes it as "16S ribosomal RNA". It matches the Rfam family "Bacterial small subunit ribosomal RNA", at positions 28 to 1378 of the family's 1533-position model. The record is from RNAcentral.